RNAcentral lists this ribosomal RNA (450 nucleotides) under uncultured bacterium. RNAcentral's name for it is "partial 16S ribosomal RNA". It matches the Rfam family "Bacterial small subunit ribosomal RNA", at positions 29 to 523 of the family's 1533-position model. The record is from RNAcentral.
AACGAACGCUGGCGGCAGGCUUAACACAUGCAAGUCGAACGCAUCCUUCGGGGUGAGUGGCAGACGGGUGAGUAACGCGUGGGAACAUGCCCUUCAGUUCGGAAUAACCCAGGGAAACUUGGGCUAAUACCGGAUACGUGCGAGAGCAGAAAGAUUUAUGAGCUGAAGGAGUGGCCCGCGUCUGAUUAGCUAGUUGGUGAGGUAAAGGCUCACCAAGGCGACGAUCAGUAGCUGGUCUGAGAGGACGAUCAGCCACACUGGGACUGAGACACGGCCCAGCAAGCUACGGGAGGCAGCGGUGGGAAAUAUGGGACAGUGGGCGCAAGAGUGAGCCAGCCAUGCUGCGGGAUGGAUGAAGGCCUUAGGGUGGUAAAGAUCUUGCGGCGGGGACGAUAAUGACGGUACCCGCAGAAGAAGCCCCGGCUAACUUCGUGCCAGCCGCCGCCGUAA